UAGUUGGUCAUGCAGUGAUGGGUUUACC
RNAcentral lists this non-coding RNA (28 nucleotides) under Homo sapiens (human). Lineage: Eukaryota; Metazoa; Chordata; Mammalia; Primates; Hominidae. The record is from RNAcentral.